GGUCAAUGAUGUAUUGGCAAGUAUUACCUAAAUAGUCUACUGAUGUGUAAUGACAUGUUAGCUCUAGAAUUACGCUGAGACCUU
This is a small nucleolar RNA of Perognathus longimembris pacificus (Pacific pocket mouse), 84 nucleotides long. RefSeq annotates it as small nucleolar RNA SNORD45. The transcript has a single exon. NCBI's taxonomy places the organism in Eukaryota, Metazoa, Chordata, Mammalia, Rodentia, Heteromyidae. The record is from RefSeq and is a predicted model, not a curated record.